Molecule: long non-coding RNA, 7506 nt
Filed under: Volvox carteri
Lineage: Eukaryota; Viridiplantae; Chlorophyta; Chlorophyceae; Chlamydomonadales; Volvocaceae
Description: long non-coding RNA (VCAR_LNC000824)
Source: RNAcentral
CUGGUAUGUAUGUUGUUACAGGGUGGUUAACUUCGCCAGCGGCCCCCUUUCCCGGGGCAGUCCCUGCUCUCCCCUGCUAGAGGGGCACCCUAAUCCGUCACCCCAUCCGACUUCAGAAUGUAUUCGUUGGGUUCGGCAACUCACCACCAGCAUCCAACCAAAUCUAGCGGAUCAACGGCGCAUCAACUUAGUUCCUGGUCAGCUCGCAAGUUGAUAUUAUCACGUCCUACACCGUCCAUAAGAUGGGGGGCCACCUCCCAUUUCAUCACUCCUCAAACACCCGAGGAGCCGGCAGGCGGAUUUGAACCCGGGUCGACUGGGUCAACUGGGAGCAGAAGUCAGGCCUUAACCUCUGCCAGCCGCCUGCCUUCUGGUAUAUAUGACACAAGUUAUGCAAGUCUUGGUAUCUCCUUGCCUCCUUCAUAUUCUUAACAGGUUAUGAGCCCCGCCUCCAGGUACUCAUUUAUUGCCGUGUCGUUGGGUGUAUAAGGUUAAGUACAACGAUGACGGCAGCGUGGAGCGUUUUAAGGCGCGAUUGGUUGCGAAGGGUUUCGAGCAACACGAGGGGAUUGAUUAUGGGGAGUGUUUGCCCCUACCUCUCGUGGUUNNNNNNNNNNNNNNNNNNNNNNNNNNNNNNNNNNNNNNNNNNNNNNNNNNGGCGCUAGCGGAAAACUCGUACAUUCCGCGAUCUAACUGCACGUACAUUCCGCGAUCUCACUGCGCCGUCCAGACGGUGCCCUAAUGUCUAUCACUUAGCUACCGGAUAUGCAUCGGUAGCCCCAUAAGGUUCUGGGGUAAGUCUUCCCCAUUAGUCAGGCGCAGACCCGGGGUCAAAUCCCCUGGUCGACAACCACACGAGUUGGGAGAGGGCCGUUUCCUCAACAGAAACACAUCGACGUGCAGCACCACAUAGUGCGUGAGUGGGUGAAUAGCGGGGAGGUGCAGUUUGAGUACUGCCCUACAGAGUUGAUGGUAGUGGAUGCGCUCACGAAGGCACUGGGAGAAGUGAAGUUCAAACGGUGCAGAGAAGCUAUGGGUGUUGUGUGCAGUCCCCAUUGGUCGAGCAAAUGUGCUACUGCGAGUUGGGAUAUGUCCCGAGGGGGCGUGUUGAAGGGCGGUCCUAUCCCAACAUAGAUAGGUGGUAGUUAGGCGAUGAAUCCGUGAUAGGCGAUGCCUCGGACGUGCCUCGACCUUGCCUCGGCCGUGCCUCGACCUUGCCUCGGCCGUGCCUCGACCUUGCCUCGGGUCUCUCGGCCGCGUAUCUCUGACGUGUCCUCUGGUCCAGGGAUGGUGGACGACUGUACGAUACUUCCGUUGGUAUCGGUACAUAAGGCGAGAGUUAAGCAAGUCUUUCUUUCUCAUGUUAGGGGAUAAAUCGGUAUUCCUUAACAGGAAUCUCCUAAAGUCUUCUUGCCGUUCACCAUUAACCCACAGACUGUAACCCUUAUAUCGCGACCAGUCUCCUUGCCUUCAUAUUCUUAACACGCCGUCGACCAUCUUAAAACGGCUGAAUUCUUGACGUAGAGCCACCUUGCGGGCGUUGUUGUUGGCAGCAAACAUAGAGCCCAAGGCGUCCCAGGCCUUCUUCGCGUUGGCAGCACCGGUGACCAUCGGCAAGUGGUGAUUCUUCACGUUCUUGUUAAGCAGAUUGAUGACCUUCCGUGAUUGACGAAUCUGCUCCUCGUUGCACGGCUCGGCGAGCAAGGACUGCUCAAGCCCAAGCUCCAUGCACAUCGUGCUAAACCGGAUUUGCCACGUGGAGUAGUUGUGGAGGUCCAGCGGGUCAUCAAGCGUAUCCUUGACCAUUGUCGGUAAGGGAUAGAAAUAACAAUCGGACGAUAGCUGUCGGCGCUAGACGGGGCUUAUAACCUAUUGGAGAAUUGGCGACGGUGACGGCUAACGCUGAUUGUUAUCUCGGAAGGAAUGCCGGCGGCGAAGAUAUUUAAGCAGCCUCUCGCACAAAUGUGUCCGGUCGUACUUCGCGAAUAAAGAGUUCGUACAUGUCGCCCCAAAAGCCAGGAGCGAUUUUCACCGCGCGGGUGCACGCGUUCGAUUCACAAAUUGCGCGUGUGCAAGUGUAUAAAAUUCUCUCGGCGAAAGGCCGCUCAUCAGGGCAUGUUGGCCGCAGUCACAAGCGGCAUGCAUCUCGGACUUUUGGCUGGCUGCUUAGCCUGAGCUGAAAAAGAUAUGAAAGCAAACAACGUAGCUUGCAAGACUGGGCGCUUGAAACGGCCGCGGAAGAGGAAGCGUUUGGCGAAGCGGCAGUUUGCGCAAGCAAACGAGUUGCGCCAGCGUGUUGCGCAGGUGGGCACGAUGGGCAUAGUCGCACGCGGCAUGCAGCCUAGUCUAUUGCGUGGCUGCUUUGCAGUAACUGAAAGCACCGAAAGCCUACGUCGUAGCUUGCAACACUGGGCUCGUGAAACUGCCGCGGGAAGAGGAAGCGUCUGGCGAAGAGGCAGUCGUGUGCAAGCCAAAAGGCGCCUGCUUUCUGCAGCGCAGCGCAUACAGCACCUUGUUCCGACUCAAGUCAAAUUACAAAGUUGCGCAAAGUAUAACAUACAUAAACUUAAUUAAACAUAAGAACAGAUAAGAUGUUUAGAGCCUUGUCGGUGACAUGGACGCCGCUGUUGGCUUGGAACAGCUAUUUGCUGUGCAUAGGGACGUGCCCGCGUUAGCUGUGUUGCAACAGCUCAGGAUGGAUUUCAGCCAACAAAGCCUCAAGAGCUGCUGCACAACCACCGGUGUGUCUUCAGCUGGACACGUGUAGUUUUGGUCGGCGGGGUCGAGCAUCGUAUGCAUUGCGCACAGAAACCAAGGUGCAGCAUCUCUGUAACAUCGCCAACAUAUCCGGUACGCGGUGGCAGGCUUGCCGAGCACGAAAUGACGGAAGGUCUCAUCUCACCAUUCAACUAAGCAUGCAUGUGCUCGGUUGAAUGCUCGGUAGCAUGCGAGUUUACCUAUCAGGAUGUUUGUUUGCAUAUAUCCCUCCAAGCGAAAGGGCUUGGACCUAUGCUGAUGUUCGUUACAAGAAGUGAACUGAGGACUAAUGCUACACGUCAUGUAUACGCGUUGCUUAGCUUGCAACGAGGCGCGCCCACGAUGAAAGCUUCAGCUACGCUCACAAUACAUUAUACUGCUACACUAUUCUCUCCAGUCCUACCACAUUAUAUUUCACCGACGUACUUUGCCACCUUCCACAUCACCAUACGUGCUUUGGAAACGCGGGCAGCUGCUUCACAAGGGCCCCCAUAUUUAGCACGAUAAAAUGUUAUAAGUUAUGUAAAGAGUAUUAUUAGCGUUCGGCAGGACUUGAGGAGAUUCCUUUGAGGAAUACCGAUCGUUGUGAGAUAAACAAAUAAGCGCAGUCACCGCCCUAAAUACCGGCGCUAGCGGAAAACUCGUACAUUCCACGAUCUACCUGCACGUACAUUCCGCGAUCUCACUGCGCCGUCCUGACGGUGCCCUAAUGUCUAUCACUUAGCUACCGGAUAUGCAUCGGUAGCCCCAUAAAGUUCUGGGGUAAGACUUCCCCUAUAGUUAGUCACAGACCCGGGGUCAAAACCCCUAGUCAACAACCACACGAGUUGGGAGAGGACCGUUCCCUCAACAAAAUUCACACCCUGAUGUGGAAAUGCUGGGGGUUCGGUAUUCAGUCAAGGAACACAAACGUCCUGGCGAGUGGUGACGAAAUGAAUGCGGUCGUACUCUCACAGGCCGAGUCAAUGCUGCAAUAUAUCUGCUUGGACAAACUUGUAUGCCGAAGCAGUCCCAGGUCCACAUGCAGACGACUGGCGGCAGUGAGUGCCGCGAACAUUCUGAAUCCGGUAGACCCCGCUGGACACCGUGGAUUGCAGCAGGCGAUCAUUUGCUGCAACUACAAACAGACGGGCCGUAUAGCUUGGAGUUGCAAAGAGAGCCGCAGCCUAACGUGCAGGGAAGGAGUGGAGGUGGUCUUGGCGACCACACGUGGCAGGUGGGGUAGCAUGCCUCAACAGACAGGCGGUGGCAGCAGUGCAGUGAUGCCGUGUAUUUUUGCUGCAAGAUAAGAACCACUAUUAAGGUUAAGGGGAAUUGUGUGACUCCGAAGCGGCUAGUAUUGGUGUACCUGAGUCUGUUGGAACUGACCGACACUCAUAUACCAGUGAAUGAUAGCCACACUCAUAUACCAGUGAAUGGUAGUCACAGUGAAUGGUAGCCACAGUAAUAGGACCCAGUAUGAUACCAGUGAAUGGUAGCCACAGUAAUAGGACCCAACGGGGGUCCGGCACUCUGCUGGUCUUAACAGAGUCAGGGCCUCUGUCAAGCUCCGUUAGACUUAGGAAACACAGUCGGCUAGGCACCACUGUCACCUGUGCAUGGUGAAGGAAUGCCGGAAGAAGCCGGAACAACCGGUGCAAGCCAGCGCAGGAGUAAGAGGGCAGGGAAUGUGAGGAUAUAUUGUGGCCUUCGGAGCGGUAGUGUUGAAGGGCGGUCCUAUCCCAACGUAGAUAGCUGUUAGUUAGGCGAUGAUAGGCGAUGCCUCGAACGUGCCUCGACCUUGCCUCGGCCGUGCCUAGACCUUGCCUCGGCCAUGCCUCGACUUGCCUCGGCCGUACCUCGACCUUGCCUCGGGUCUCUCGGCCGCGUAUCUCGGAUGUGUCCUCGUGCCCAGCAUUGAUGGUGGGCGACUGUACGAUACUUCCAUUGGUACUGGUAUAUAUGACACAAGUUAUGCAAGUCUUGGUAUCUCCUUGCCUCCUUCAUAUUCUUAACAGGUUAUGAGCCCCGCCUCCAGGUACUCAUUUAUUGCCGUGUCGUUGGGUGUAUAAGGUUAAGUACAACGAUGACGGCAGCGUGGAGCGUUUUAAGGCGCGAUUGGUUGCGAAGGGUUUCGAGCAACACGAGGGGAUUGAUUAUGGGGAGUUGUUUGCCCCUACCUCUCGUGGUUCGUCAUUACGUGCUUUAUUAGCAGUUGCCGCGAAAAUUCUGUAUCUGGUUGACCCAACUGGACAGCGUGGAUUGCAGCAGGCGAUCAUUUGCUACAACUACCAGCAGACGGGCCGUAUAGCUCGGAGUUGCAGAGAGCCGCAGCCUUACGUGCAGAGAAUGAGUGGAGGUGGUCUUGGCGACCACACGUGGCAGGUGGGGUAGCAUGCCUCAACAGACAGGCGGUAACGGCAGUGCAGUGAUGCCGUGUAUUUUUUUGCUGCAAGAUAAGAACCACUAUGAAUUGUCUGACUCCGAAUCGGCUAGUAUUGGUGUACCUGAGUCAGGGCCUCUGCCAAGCUCCGUUAGACUUAGGAAACACAGUCGGCUGGGCACCACUGUCACCUGUGGAUGGUGAAGGAAUGCCGGAUGAAGCCGAAGCAUCUAGUGGUGCAAGCCAGCACAGGAGUUCAGAAGAAUAGGGCAGGGAAUAUGAGGAGAUAUUAUAGCCCUCGGGGUGGUGAUAUGGUGUUGCAGGAAGGAGGAUAGUAGGUUGCAUUAACGUGGCUGUCACUGAUCCGUACGUACCCUGCUGAACUUUUGCUAAGUAAUACUUUCACUGAAGCCAUUUCAGGAGCAGGGGCAAAUGAGUGGCGCAUAGUGAUGGUCAACUGCACUUGUGUGCUGUGUGUACAACCUUAUGCUGUGCAUGUGCCACCUAUGGUGGUUGUACAAGUUGAAAAGAGUGGAAGGUGACACGGUCAAGCGCUUUUUUGCAUGGCUAGGUGCAAAGAUGUACGAGAAGUACGAGAACUUGGAGAAGCGCAGGUGUUUUCGGGCAUGGAAAUACUGAGGAUGAAUUAGUGUUGUCGCAAUAUUGAGCAGCUAUUGGAGCGUCACCAGGCGGUGGACGCCAAGCCACGGUCUACCCCUUUGCCUCCAGGUUUUAGUUGCACACCUACGGGGGAUAGAGAUGAGCUGCUGGGUAUUCCCAUGGUGCAUAGGGCUUUGGUGGGAAAGUUGGACUACCUAGCGACUAACACUCGGCCUGACAUUCCUUAUGCAUGGAGUGUUUUGUCCCGGCUUAUGGCCACACCUAAGAAGAGUGCCAUGAACUUGGCAACUGGUGUUCUACGUUACCUGGCGGGUACUCGCGAACUAGGAUUGCGUUUUGGGGGUGUUGGCGGUGUUGCAAUGUCUGGGUACAGUGAUUCGGACUGGGCAGGAGACCCAGUUACGCAGCGUUCUACGUCCGGUUACGUAUUCACUCUUAAUGGAGCUGCGAUUAGCUGGAGCAGCCAACUUCAACGUACUGUGGCGGCUUCGUCGGUGGAGGCCGAGUACCAAGGUCCAGGUCCUCUCCCAACUCGUGUGGUUGUCGACCAGGGGAUUUGACCCCGGGUCUGCGCCUAACUAACGGGGAAGACUUAACCCAGAACCUUAAGUUAGGCGAUGAUAGGCAAUGCCUCGAACGUGUCUCGACCUUGCCUCGGCCGUGCCUAGACCUUGCCUCGGCCAUACCUCGACUUGCCUCGGCCGUACCUCGACCUUGCCUCGAGUCUCUCGGCCGCGUAUCUCGGACGUGACCUCGGGUCCAGGGAUGGAUCUGUACGAUACUUCCAUUGUUACUGGUCUGGUCUGUACGAUACUUCCAUUGUUACUGGUCUGGUCUGGGUUGACACUACUGCAAUUAGCGGUUUAAGGUCCUAGGUUCGAUUCCUGGGGAUACCCCCGAAUUAGUCGGGAGCGCGAGAUUAUGGCUAGCUGCUGAGAUGUGGAGUUGAGGUCACAGUUGAUGGACCAGAUUCGCACGCUGGAUUGGUGGCGAUUGCCGAACCCUCCGUCUCUUCGGGUGUUCGGGUGAAUGGAUGAGGUGGGGCCCCUGAAGGCUGGAUCCGCCGCCUUGGACUUACAUACAGUUCGUAUGGCGAAGUACAGUGUGGUAGUGGUGGAUGGUGCUAUAAGGUGAUAAAUGAUCUAGAACUGACAAUGUGAUAAAGCGGCCCAGAAGCCUCCCACUCUGUAACAACAUUACAAUUACAAUUACAAUUACAUUGUUACUGGUAUAUAAGACACGAGUUGUGCUAGUCUUAGUAUCUCAUCUUUGUAUGGAUCGCUAUUCCUUAGUAGGAAUCUCCUAAAGUCUUCUUGCCGUUUACCACUCACCCACCGAUUGUAAUACUUAUAUCGCAACCAGUCUCCUUGCCUCCUUCAUAUUCAUAACAAUUAUGGGGAGUUGAUGUUGUUACAGGGUGGUUAAGCUUCACCAGUGGCCUCCUUCCCGAGGCAGUUCCCUGCUCUCCCCUGCUAGAAGGGCACCCUAAGCCAUUCACCCCAUCCGACUUCAGAGUGUACUCUUUGAGUUUGGCAACUCACAACCAGCAUCCAACCAAAUCUAGCGGAUCAACGGCGCAUCAACUUAGUUCCUGGUCAGCUCGCGAGUUGAUUUUACCAUAUCCUACAUCGUCCACAAGAUUGGGGGCCACCUCACAUUUCAUCACCUCUCAAACACCACGAGAGGUCGGCAGGCGGAUUUGAUCCCGGACGCGCCGGACCACGUCGGGAGCAGAAGCCAGGCCUUAACCUCUGCCAGCCGCCUGC